AGUUGCAGGAAGGAGACAGGCAGUUAAGGAGGUGGCACUGCUGUGUGUGAGCUGUUUGUGUUUCUCUUCUCAG
This 73-nucleotide microRNA precursor is filed under the name Colobus angolensis palliatus. Its description in RNAcentral is "miRNA (ENSCANG00000037839.1)". The record is from RNAcentral. Lineage: Eukaryota; Metazoa; Chordata; Mammalia; Primates; Cercopithecidae.